UCCCCCAUAGUCAAAUGGCUAUGAUGUGACGCUCUCACCGUCAAGGUCGGGGUUCGAUUCCCCGUGGGGGAG
Monosiga brevicollis MX1 is the source of this 72-nucleotide transfer RNA. It matches the Rfam family "tRNA". Rfam says of the family: Transfer RNA (tRNA) molecules are approximately 80 nucleotides in length. Their secondary structure includes four short double-helical elements and three loops (D, anti-codon, and T loops). The record is from Rfam. Lineage: Eukaryota; Choanoflagellata; Craspedida; Salpingoecidae.